UGGGGCUGUGCUAGAGGCUUCUGGGCUUAUCUGCAGUGAGCCUGGGGGCCCUCAAAAGGGUCUGGGGACAGGUAAAAUGGGCCUGGGGUCAUGCAGCAGGGUUCAGGGGCAUCAGAAGGGGCAUUGUGGGCAUCUAAGUUGGCCUGGGGUCCUCUGGAGGUUGCCUCCCUCUUUCUGUCUCUGUUGUUUGUGCCUGGGUGAGAGUUCUCUGCUGUGUUUGUUCUCUCUUUUUGCAGGGAGCUGAACUGCUUUGCCCCAGCCCAGCUGCAGAUCUGCACUCAGCCUCAGCCCCAAGCCCUGGCAGGGUGGGAUGCUUUGGUACCAGGCCGUGGAGCUGUUUGAAAUGCAAUUCCUGCUUGCAGCUGGUUCAGAAAUGGAUUUCCUGUGGCUGUGGGGGCAGAAAUGUCUCUGUGCACACGCUCAGAGGACAGGUCCCUGGAUUGCAGUGCUGCUCCAAUGGCCUGUGGUGGCUGCAGGCAGCCGCGGCCCGGGGAGCCCAAGACUCAGCGUGUGGAAGGGUUGGGAGCAGCCCUGGGUGCCUGCAAGGAUUCGGGAGGCCCGAGCAGGUCUGAAACCCUGCCACGGAGAGGCACAGGCCCCGCAGCAGUGCCUGCAUUUCAGCAGCUGCCCAUCGGAGCUAAGCACAGCCUCGGCUCAGAGGAGCAUGUCUGCUGGGCAGUGCUGGGGGCCAGGCGUCCCUCCUGUGUGUGCAUGGCCCACAUGCCAGCACCUUGCAGUCAGAGCUGACUGUGUGCACUGGAGGUGGAGUGUUGGAGUGGGAUCAGCUCAGAGGUCUGCAAGGUUUGCACUUUGCUUUCCACUCCACUGGCCAAGCCAGCCAGAUGUGCAGCAGCAGCAGGAUGGGCACGAGGGCCCCAGCUGCUGCGGUGAAUCCGUCAGCACGGACGCUGGUGCCGCUGCAGCCUGGCCCUGCAGCCUGGCAGGGUGAUCUCCUUUGGCUCGGCUCCUGUGGGCUCCAGGUAGGGUUUGUCUGUGUCUGCCAGGAGGGAAGGGUUGAAAAGGAGAUUGCUCAGUCAGAGCUCUGACCUAGUAGCUGAAGAUUCUGUCCAAUGCAGAUGCUGACAGAGCAGCUGGAUGAGCAGAAAGCCUCUCGUGCAAACGGCUGUGGAGUGCUUCUCUCUGUUCCCUGCUGCUGGGAGGUGCUGACAGGUUAGGGUUUGCAGGGAGGCAGAUCUCGCGGAGAAGGGCUGAACUCACUGUGCAAGGACACUGCACAAUCCAGUGUGGAUCAAAAGCGAGUGACAACUUUAUUUAGUAGCCACACGCUUAUAUGUGUUACAGAUAAUUUAUGCAUACAUGUAAGAAGCUAAAUGGCUGAAUCCCUAAAUACCCCAUUUGCUCUGCUUGAGUUGUCUGCUGACUCGUCAAGGACAGUGCCUCCCUGGCUAGUUAUAUUAAAUGCUGCCUUUGUUUAUUCAA
RNA transcript from Pogoniulus pusillus (Red-fronted tinkerbird), 1440 nucleotides. RefSeq lists it as uncharacterized. Lineage: Eukaryota; Metazoa; Chordata; Aves; Piciformes; Lybiidae. The record is from RefSeq and is a predicted model, not a curated record. The transcript is spliced from 5 exons.